GUGUCAGCAGCCGCGGUAAGACGAACCGUGCGAACGUUGUUCGGAAUCACUGGGCUUAAAGGGCGCGUAGGCGGGCUGUCCAGUCUGGGGUGAAAUCCCGCGGCUCAACCGUGGAACUGCCUCAGAUACUGACGGCCUCGAGGGAGAUAGGGGCAUGCGGAACUGUAGGUGGAGCGGUGAAAUGCGUUGAUAUCUACAGGAACUCCGGUGGCGAAGGCGGCGUGCUGGAUCUCUUCUGACGCUGAGGCGCGAAAGCUAGGGGAGCAAACGGGAUUAGAAACCCCUGUAGUCC
This 292-nucleotide ribosomal RNA is filed under the name uncultured bacterium. Its description in RNAcentral is "partial 16S ribosomal RNA". It matches the Rfam family "Bacterial small subunit ribosomal RNA", at positions 505 to 796 of the family's 1533-position model. The record is from RNAcentral.